AAUUAAUCUAAGCUCAUGGAAUAUAACCCAAUCUAAUAUCAAAAUAUUCCUUCUUGCCUUCUAGAAAGACAAACACAACGGUAGGGGAGUGAUAGAUAAUCUUUAAUCAGUCUUAACAUGUUUGAUAAUCUAAAUCCUUCUUAAUUUAGAUAAAUAAAAAGACGGGAGUCGAACUUUUACCUUUUUUUUUUUUUUUUUUUUAAGCCGUAGAUUAUUUAAUUUUCUGUGGCUUGCACUCCAUCUCAAUCUCUGUAUGUUGAAACUUCUUUCCUUUGCGUAUUGGGACAGAUGGAAACAAACCGUUGAUCACCAUGACUGACUUGGUGAGAGUCUCCAUGGUAUUGCGACGCGUCCGUUUGUGUUUGACUGAGUUGGGGAGAGUCGAAAAAUAAUUU
Molecule: long non-coding RNA, 395 nt
Filed under: Prunus persica (peach)
Lineage: Eukaryota; Viridiplantae; Streptophyta; Magnoliopsida; Rosales; Rosaceae
Description: long non-coding RNA (PPER_LNC006620)
Source: RNAcentral